This 51-nucleotide ribosomal RNA is filed under the name Mycosphaerella vespa. RNAcentral's name for it is "partial 28S ribosomal RNA". The record is from RNAcentral. RNAcentral also lists the same sequence under 5 other names. Lineage: Eukaryota; Fungi; Ascomycota; Dothideomycetes; Mycosphaerellales; Mycosphaerellaceae.
GUUGACCUCGGAUCAGGUAGGGAUACCCGCUGAACUUAAGCAUAUCAAUAG